Cavia porcellus (domestic guinea pig) is the source of this 3429-nucleotide RNA transcript. It is a transcript of the gene named XPA, DNA damage recognition and repair factor, with no coding region annotated. The record is from RefSeq and is a predicted model, not a curated record. NCBI's taxonomy places the organism in Eukaryota, Metazoa, Chordata, Mammalia, Rodentia, Caviidae. The transcript has 7 exons.
UUUGCUCCCUGAAGCCAGGGACCGCGCCCCCAAGUCGGCCAAACUGGGCUUGGCCUAUCGCGGAGGAAUAGGCUGGAGAUGGCGGAGGCCGAGGCGGCAUCGUCCGAGCCCGCGACUUCCGAGCAGCCAGUGGAGCUGUCUGCCUCCGUUCGGGCGAGCAUCGAGCGAAAGCGGCAGCGGGCGCUGAUGCUGCGCCAGGCUCGGCUAGCGGCCCGGCCCUACCCGGCGACGGCGGCUGCGGCUACUGGAGGGAUGACAAACGUAAAAGCGCCCCCCAAAAUAAUUGACACAAAAGGGGGCUUCAUUUUGGAAGAGGAAGAAGAAGAAGAACAUAAAGUUGGAAACAUUGUUCAUCAACCAGGACCUGUUAUGGAAUUUGAUUACACAAUAUGUGAAGAAUGCGGGAAAGAAUUUAUGGAUUCCUACCUUAUGAAUCACUUUGAUUUGGCAACUUGUGAUAACUGCAGAGAUCCUGAUGAGAAACAUAAGCUUAUUACCAAAACAGAAGCAAAGCAAGAAUACCUUCUAAAAGACUGUGAUUUAGAAAAAAGAGAACCAGCUCUUAAAUUUAUUGUGAAGAAGAAUCCUCAUCAUUCCCAGUGGGGAGAUAUGAAACUCUACUUAAAACUGCAGAUUGUGAAGAGGUCUCUUGAAGUGUGGGGCAGUGAGGAAGCACUAGAAGAAGCAAAGGAAGUGAGACAAGAAAACCGAGAAAAAAUGAAACAGAAGAAGUUUGAUAAAAAAGUAAAAGAGGUUGGUGGAUGCUCCUUCCUCCUGACUAGGCCACAGAGGGCUCUCAGUGGAGCAGACGCUAGCGAUAGAAGCGAGGCGCUGACUGUGCAGUUUGCUCAGACGGCUCAGAGCAGAGAGGAAUAGGACCAAUUCUUAAAGGUUUUUUAGUCGGAAAGGAAUUGGGACCUGACUCCUCUUGGUCUUCUGAUUUUGAUCCACAAACAACCUGACAAAAGUUUACUUCUUUAUGGGAAGAAUUGCGACGAGCGGUAAGAAGCAGUGUGUGGAAAAGAGGAACAACUGCUCAUCAACACGAGUAUGGACCAGAAGAAAACUUAGACGAUGACAUGUACCGCAAGACGUGUACUGUGUGCGGCCAUGAGCUGACAUAUGAAAAAAUGUGAUGUUUAGUUCAGUCAGUUUUGAAACAGAUUUUUAUAUUAAAAGAAAUUUAGGUUGAUCCUGUUCAAAGUCUACUACAAAGUAAGUAAGCUUCAAUAGCAACUGUGGAUAUGGCUCAACAGCAAGUUUCAGUUACAGUCCAGCAGGCCUGGUAAGGCAGAGUGUCAUGUCUCUGGGAGCUGAAAGGAAGGCAGAUUCAAAAGCAGCAGAGCCACAAAUUAAGGAGUAAGAAACCAAAAUAAAUUCUAGAGUGGGGUCAGAGGAAGAGCUUUCAAUAAACGUCAGAGCUGACUGAACUGGACUCAGCCAAAAAAACAAACAGGGAUGGCAUUACAUUACUGUAUGAGAGUCUGAAUAAAGAUUUUUAGGGUCUUUGAUCACAAAACCAGAAGGCAGUGGGAAGCUUCUGCUGGAAAGUGUCCCGACACUUAGUGAACCAUAGGAAUUUGAUGUUUUCUGUACCGAGGGGCCUUCUACAUUAAUGACUGGACAAUUCUCCCCACAUGCUGAAUGAAAAUGGAAAACCACAUUUUUCACAAAUUAGUAUCAGCUGAUCAAAGGUUUUGAGUUUAUCCUACUUCUAAGUGUCUUACAGGUAUUCUCAUUUAAUCCUGGAAGGAAGAAAACUUGCUUCAUGUUCAAUAGGGAGGGAAGUGACACCUUAAACUGUACCCUGUCCUAGGUACAGGGAUUAAGUUUAGUUUGUCAGAUUUUCUCUGACUCUUCUCAAAAAGAUUAGCAACCACCUGAUUCUGAUUACUGGACUUUCAGCAUCAUUUUAAUAAAAGGUCAGGUUAGAAUAAACUGGGUACUUUCAACUUGUAGUUUGACAUAAAUUCUUUCUUACCACAAACAGAAUACAAAGCAUAUGCCUUUUCCCUCUUCUUUCCAAACCAGACUAUACCCUUGAAGAAAGGCCAAAAUCAGACCAAGUCAAACCAAGUAAUUAGGCAUUUGAGACUAUUAACUGUUUUAUGUAUAUAAAUGCCCAACCCAGAAAUUUUCACUGUAUUCAAGUAUUGAUUUUUUAAAUAUAUGCUAUGCUAGAAAUUAUACCUGAGUAAAAACCGAUUCUCAAUGGGCUGCCAGUUUCUAGCCUUCUGAUAACAAAAUAUGGAGUUCCAUAUCUCUCACUGUGCACUAAAGUAAAAUUGAAAUGCAUCAAAGAUCUAAAUCUUAAAACAGAAACAUUUAAUCUGCUGGAAAAACAAUACAUAAAACUUUUAAAGACAUAGGUGUAGACAAAGACUUCAUGAAUAAAAACCCCAAUUAUACAGGAAAUACUACAAAAAAGCAACCACUGGGAUCUCAUCAUAUUAAGCUUUUGCAUAGCAAAAGAAGCCACCAACAGAGUGAAAAGACAACCCCACAGAGUGGGGGAAAAACUUUUACCAGCUGUUCCUCAAAGGACUGAUACCUGAAAUAUAUAAAAAUUCAAAAAAAUCACACCCAAAUUUAAAGACCCAAUCCAAAAAUAAGCAUCUGAAAUAGACACUUCUUAGAUGAGGUACAAAAGGCAAAUACAUGAGAAAAUGUUCAACAUCAGUGGUCAUCUGAAAAAUGUUUUAAUUGGUAUUCCAUCUUGCUCCAGAAGUGGCCAUCAUCAAGAAAUCAACCAGUAACAAAUGCUGGCAAGACUGUGGGAAAAAAGAAACCCUUCUCCACUGUUGAGAGGAAUGAAAACUGGUAAAAACAGUGUGGAAAUCAGGAUGGAGAGUCCUCAAAAAACUUAAAACUAGAGGUUCCAAUUGACCCAGUCUUUUCCCUUCUUGAUAUCGAUCCAGAAAGAGUUAAAGGCGUUACACUACAGUGAUACGCGCACACUGAUGUUUAUAGAAGCACAAUCUGUAACAGCUAAGUCCUGGAAACAGCCCAGAUGACCAUCAACAAACAAAUAAAGAAAAUGGGGUAAAUGAGAUUUUUUUAAGUAAAUGGAGACACCCCAAGACCACACUUCUAUGUGAAAUAAAUUAGACACACGUUUAAAUAUUGCAUUCUCUUGUGUGAGAAGCCAAAUGGGUAAACAAGGACCAAAAUGAGUAAAUAUUGGGAAGUAAGAAGAAAAUGUUCAAAAGAGAAGGGGAACAGAGGAAAGGGGGGAAGAGAAAGGAAGGGGAGAUGAGAAAGCAAUAUAAUAAAAAAAAUGGAAACAAAGCUUUUAUAAAGGGAGGAUUGAAGGAGCAGAGUGGAGGAAAAACAAAAACAUCAAGAUAUAUUAUGUACAGGUACAAAUUCCUUAUGAAUGUAAUGUAUAUCAAGUGUACCAAUAAAAUAAAUUUUUUUUGGUAGCAGGAA